This 253-nucleotide ribosomal RNA is filed under the name uncultured bacterium. Its description in RNAcentral is "partial 16S ribosomal RNA". It matches the Rfam family "Bacterial small subunit ribosomal RNA", at positions 524 to 776 of the family's 1533-position model. The record is from RNAcentral.
UACGGAGGGAGCUAGCGUUGUUCGGAUAUACUGGGCGUAAAGCGCACGUAGGCGGCGCCGUAAGUCAGGGGUGAAAUCCCGGAGCUCAACUCCGGAACUGCCUUUGAAACUAGAUAGCUUGAAUCCAGGAGAGGUGAGUGGAAUUCCGAGUGUAGAGGUGAAAUUCGUAGAUAUUCGGAAGAACACCAGUGGCGAAGGCGGCUCACUGGACUGGUAUUGACGCUGAGGUGCGAAAGCGUGGGGAGCAAACAGG